Molecule: transfer RNA, 21 nt
Filed under: Canis lupus (wolf)
Lineage: Eukaryota; Metazoa; Chordata; Mammalia; Carnivora; Canidae
Description: partial tRNA-Tyr
Source: RNAcentral
GUUUAAGUCCUCUUUUUGCCA